UCUGUGAAACUGCAUCGUGAUGGGGAUAGAUUAUUGCAAUUAUUAAUCUUCAACGAGGAAUGCCUAGUAAGCGCGAGUCAUCAGCUCGCGUUGAUUACGUCCCUGCCCUUUGUACACACCGCCCGUCGCUCCUACCGAUUGGAUGUGCUGGUGAAGCGUUUGGAUUGGCGACUUGCGGCGGUAACGCUGUUUGUCGCCGAGAAGUUCGUUAAACCCUCCCAUCUAGAGGAAGGAGAAGUCGUAACAAGGUUUCCUUUCGCACGUCAGGUUCUCACCUGCCGAAGCCUUAGCCGCCCGAAAGGGUGCUCGCCGCGACUUCAUGACUUCAUGAUUAAUUUCGUUGUUAAUCAUCGGAAAGAAAGAGCGAGCUGAAAGAGCUAGUCGAGGUGGCUCCCUUCCAGGCUGGAAGGGAAAAACCUCGGCGACACCGUCAAAUUGCGGGAACGCCCACGCACGACUCUCGAACACCAAGCGGCUCGCCGAAAGGCGCCCGUGGCCGGGGUAACGACCCAGGGUAAGGUAACAGCGUCGAGAGGAGAAGCUCCUACCAUGCUUUGAUGAAUUUUAAAGCGGAGUGGAAGUGGGUCAUCCGCAGCCAAGUCCUACGGCGCGCCGUUUCGUUUUUGACUAAAUGAAAGGGGCAGUCAAAGGAUGCUGUUCACAGACUACAUGGCGGUGGGUUGCUCGCUGCCCUUUCAUGUCAACUGAAAGGGUGUC
This 717-nucleotide ribosomal RNA is filed under the name Deuterostichococcus lewinii. RNAcentral's name for it is "partial small subunit ribosomal RNA". The stretch from base 1 to 275 matches the Rfam family "Eukaryotic small subunit ribosomal RNA", at positions 1550 to 1831 of the family's 1831-position model. The record is from RNAcentral. Lineage: Eukaryota; Viridiplantae; Chlorophyta; Trebouxiophyceae; Prasiolales; Stichococcaceae.